UACGUAGGGGGCAAGCGUUGUCCGGAUUUAUUGGGCGUAAAGAGCGUGUAGGCGGCUUUACAGGUCCGUUGUGAAAACUCGAGGCUCAACCUCGAGACGCCGGUGGAAACCGUAAAGCUAGAGUCCGGAAGAGGAGAGUGGAAUUCCUGGUGUAGCGGUGAAAUGCGCAGAUAUCAGGAAGAACACCCGUGGCGAAGGCGGCUCUCUGGGACGGUACUGACGCUGAGACGCGAAAGCGUGGGGAGCGAUCCGG
RNAcentral lists this ribosomal RNA (253 nucleotides) under uncultured bacterium. Its description in RNAcentral is "partial 16S ribosomal RNA". It matches the Rfam family "Bacterial small subunit ribosomal RNA", at positions 524 to 776 of the family's 1533-position model. The record is from RNAcentral.